CGGUUUCCAGGCGGGAAACCGUUGCCGUGGUGCGGCCCCGGGCGCGGCCGCCAUGGACGAGGAGGACACGAGAGAUUUUAAUGAGCGCUGUGCCCAGUGUUCAGAAGUGAACUGGGGUCUCACUGAUGGAGGCAGAUUUUAUUGUAGAUCUUGCCACAACGUUACUGAGAGAACUAGAGAAGUUGUAAACACUGAUUUUAUUACUAAUUCAAGAGUCCAAACAAUCUCCAAAAGUUUGAGAAAGCAGGAAAAAAAUGAUGGAGGCUGUGAGUGGUAUAUUUGUGAAGGCUUUCAGCUGGUACUCAAGAAACAAGCAGAAGCUUUAGAAGCAUUAGGAGUAUGUCCACAAAUGAAGGAUGAAAUUCUGUGCAAUUUUUGGAGGUGUUACCUUCAGAAGAGCAAACAGGCAUAUUGCAAGAGACCAGCUGGGGAAACUGUGAAAGCAUUGUCAGUAUGUGAGAGCAGUACUGAUGUGGACAGUGAUCCAGAGAGACCCAGCCUUCUGCACUUGCUGUCUCUGUCUGAAAGUGAGGGGGAUCUGCAGACCGACUGCAGCUUUGCCUCAUCAGUGACCAAGGUCUCAGAGAGCACCUCUGUGUACUCUGGAUCAGUAGAUGGCAGCUUGUAUUUAAUGAAGAACCAAAAGGAGAAACUGAGGAUGACGAUGCCAAUGACCCUUUCAUUUUGUUACAUGGCAUUACUCUGGUUGAGAGAACCAAUUACAUUGUCUGAGCUCUUAAGGUUUGUUGUUGAAGGACACAUUCCAUAUUUGAAUGUUUUUCAGCAUUUUCCGGAGAAGAUGAACUUAUGUGGACUAGAUCUUAGGAUCUUUUGUGUAGAGUCGUGGCCUGUAUAUGAAGAAGUAUUCAACAAAAUGCAUGAGCUUGCAGCGUUUUUAGACCUGCCUCGUUUUCCAGAUAUAACAGACAGCUGCUUUCUUCAUCCAGACAUGCUGUGCAUGAAGUAUUUGAUGGAAGCCAAUUUACCUGAUGAAUUGCAUAAUUGGACUUGCCGAGUGGUGAAAAAGAUUGGUAUUGGAGAAGUGGAUUUCCUGACUCUUAUGCCUGGAAAUAAGUCAACAAGAAAAGUGAAAUAUGAUGUUCUUGCUGCAGCAGUUAUUGUAGUUGUGCUCAAAUUACUGUUUUUAUUAGAUGAUCACUAUGAAUGGUUACUUUCAGAGUUUGCUGAAGAAAGAAAUAAAAAUAACACAGAAGGUGGUCCAUAUUUUGAGUUCAAGAAGUGGUAUGAGGUGGUAAAACAGUCCUUGGAUGUGGAGCAAAAGAAAUUGGAUGAAGAAAGAGCCAAGUAUCUGUGGAGAUGUGAAAAGCCGUUGUUUUACUCAGUCAAGAAUAAACCUAAAGUGCUAAAGAGAAGACAAAUGGUUGUGAACUUACAAAAUCAGUUUGGCAAGCUGUCUGGUUCAGUGCGACGUGCUGAAAAGCCAAAUCCUUCAAGUUUUCAGUUAAAUUGGUCUGAAGAAAACACAGAUGGGAGUUGUUUUCAUAGGCAUAGCCUGAAGGGAGUUUUGCAAGAAAAAUGUGGUUUACUGACAGCCAUGAACCCUGACUAUUGGCUGUGUACAGUUAAACUAUGUAAUGAGAAAUUGUGUGGUCAUCUGGCUCAUUACAGAGAAGUGGAGUUUCCCCAGAGUUACCAUUUUGUACUAGGGUUAUUCGCCUUUCUUCUGAGGAUUCAGCCCUCUUAUAUCCAUGAUGAGCACAACCGCUGAAACAAUUGGGUGUAAAAGAUUUAGGAAAGCUUCAUGGAGUAUUGUAGGCAAGGCAGAUGCUGCUGAAAUGGUGAGCAAGAGUGAGUAAGGAUUACCAGAACAGAGAAGGAAGCUGGUGUCCUCACAUGAAGUGAUUGCUGCCCUUGUACAACUGCAGCAUUUCCAGAGCCAGAACACGCCUCCCUCAUCCUUGGCAUCUACACUUUGCCUCCAGCAGUACAUCAGGUGGUUUUAGAAGAAAAUACAAGCACUUUCUUGCGGUGUGAAUGACCAGAGCAUGUAGCUGAUAAUUAUCAGGUAUGAGAUUUUAAACCCAUAUUUGUUAGGUAAGUCAUAACAGUAGCUAAUUCUUGUCCAGAAUAAAUCCCAGUUUCCCUAGACAGUGAUGUUAAAAGACAGACUGGAAAGAGGGGCAAGCAUGACGGGACAUUGCUCUGCUCAAUGGGUGCCAAUGGUGUAUAUGUGUGGUGGGGUUCCUUGCAUGUUUUGAGUGGGAUUCAUUUGAAAGGAAACAAAUGCGUGAAGAGGGGAAGGAGAAUGCUGAAAGAAGGACUGAGGCAGAGGGAAAGGUUAAGGGGAGGGCAUGAGAGGUGGAGGAGAGCAGUGAGUUCGAGGUGAAAGGGCUGAGUGAGGGAAGAAGUUGAAGGGAAGGCCAGUCAGCACAGGGCAAGGGAAGUCCUGCCAGAGCACUGCUCCACCAGGCUGGCGUGGCUUUAUGCCCCAGCCAAAGCUCUGUUAAAUCCCUUUGUGUUUCUUGCUUGAUUUUACUUGGUGGUGAUGCAACCCAGUUAGUGACAUCACAUAAAUACACCUACAGGUGGUGUUGCAGAGUCUAGAUUGUGACCGGCAGAUUAGUCGGCGGUGUCACAAUCCGGUGUUUAUAUCAUUGUCCCCUGAAUGUGGAAGCGAUUGCUAUGGCGAUAACCAAGUUUUCAUCAGUGUAUCAGGCUGUUAAGAAAAGGCAUCCCCUUUGCAGAGACAAACAGCUUUGAGUUAUUUGGAAUGAAAUAAUGGUAAACUCAAAUUAAGUGGAAAUACCAAGUGUGGCACAACACCAAGAUUUUAGCAAUUGGGUUCAAUAUAAACAUGUGACUUAACUCCUCCAGCACAUCCCGCAUCUGGGUCACCUAUGGCUACAGGGCAGUAUUAUAUUUUAUUGUUAAUGAAAAGUGUGCACCUGUGCCGAAAAGCAGCGAUCGCAUCUGCACAUCCCAGGAUUCUAUGAAGAGAAGCAGGGAGCAUGAGGAGGGAAUGAUACCCCAGGAAGUUAGAAGUCCUUCCCAGUACUUGUGAUUUUGAGCUGGUUUUGUAAUUUGUAUCGGAAACAAAGCAAGUUAUACUUGUUUGGAAAAAUGUAACUUUCCAAUAUCUUAAUCAGAUGACAGUAUUUUUUUCAUAUGUGAGAUCAGAUAAGAAAUUUCUUCUAUGUAAUCUUGAAUUAGAAUUUAAAGAUGGGUUCGACAUACAGAGUAUUUUUUACUGCAUGUCAUAAAGAACAAUUUACAUCGGUUAAUUUCAGGUUGUAGAGCAAGAUCCUACUUCAGUAUUGGUAUUUAUCUUUUGCCAUCCUAAUGGUAAUGUUUGCAGAUCCAAACAGAGCAUUUUGUUUCUAGAACACUAAUUGUAAUCCAGUCAGAGGAUAUUAAGCAACUUCCAGGAUUAGACCCUUAGUUAAAGUUUGUCUUCUUCAGUUUCAUAUUUCCUUCGGUUGGCUGGUUGAAUUGUCCUUCUAUAAUUUUGCAUUGGAGUAUAUCCUGUACAAAUAGGGAAGAGAUUUUGACCUAGAAGGAGAGACCUCUUAUUAGUGAGCAUACUUUUAAAUUACAGUAGCUAUCUGACAGAUCUUGACAUAUGAUAGAUAGCACUGUUGCUAUAUGGGUUUGAUUCAACUUGUUACUUAGACAAGCAACCUCCCACCCUUAUUUCUCAAGGAGAAACUGAAGAUCUUUCUGAUUUAACUUCAUGCAUGCCACUUUGGAUAAAUCUGAUGUGUUUGUGAUGUUGCUGCUGCUGUUACCUUGGAGCAUUUUGAUGCAGUUUCAGCACUAACUGCAUUGUAAAUGUCCCCUGCUCUCCAAACCCGGGUUCGUCUACGAGGCACUGAACGACACAUGGAUCUGCUGCUCUUCAGCAGCUGGUGCAGUGCUUGUGCAAAUUCACAGAACCAAUUAGGUUGGAAAAGACCUCUGAGAUCAUCGAGUCUAACUUAUGACUGAACACCGUGUCAACUAGACCAGAGCACUGAGUGCCACAUCCCGCCUUUUCCUAAAAACCGCCAGGACAAGGAGUCCACUGCGUGACUGGGUAUCCCAUUUCAAUGUCUAAUCGCUCUUUCUGCGAAGGAAUUCCUUCUAAUGCCCAACCUAAACCUUCCGCGGCGCAGCUGAAGACUAUAAUAAAGACAAUUCAUGUGAUUGUGGUGAGUUUAGAUUUUCCUAGAAGUGGGUGUAGUACAUGAAAAAGAAAUAA
This is an RNA transcript of Corvus hawaiiensis (hawaiian crow), 4198 nucleotides long. It is a transcript of the gene named TATA-box binding protein associated factor, RNA polymerase I subunit B, with no coding region annotated. The transcript is spliced from 18 exons. The record is from RefSeq and is a predicted model, not a curated record. NCBI's taxonomy places the organism in Eukaryota, Metazoa, Chordata, Aves, Passeriformes, Corvidae.